CUAAUACAUGCAAGUCGAACGCUUUGUGGUUCAACUGAUUUGAAGAGCUUGCUCAGAUAUGACGAUGGACAUUGCAAAGAGUGGCGAACGGGUGAGUAACACGUGGGAAACCUACCUCUUAGCAGGGGAUAACAUUUGGAAACAGAUGCUAAUACCGUAUAACAAUGACAACCGCAUGGUUGUUAUUUAAAAGAUGGUUCUGCUAUCACUAAGAGAUGGUCCCGCGGUGCAUUAGCUAGUUGGUAAGGUAAUGGCUUACCAAGGCGAUGAUGCAUAGCCGAGUUGAGAGACUGAUCGGCCACAAUGGGACUGAGACACGGCCCAUACUCCUACGGGAGGCAGCAGUAGGGAAUCUUCCACAAUGGGCGAAAGCCUGAUGGAGCAACGCCGCGUGUGUGAUGAAGGGUUUCGGCUCGUAAAACACUGUUGUAAGAGAAGAAUGACAUUGAGAGUAACUGUUCAAUGUGUGACGGUAUCUUACCAGAAAGGAACGGCUAAAUACGUGCCAGCAGCCGCGGUAAUACGUAUGUUCCAAGCGUUAUCCGGAUUUAUUGGGCGUAAAGCGAGCGCAGACGGUUAUUUAAGUCUGAAGUGAAAGCCCUCAGCUCAACUGAGGAAUUGCUUUGGAAACUGGAUGACUUGAGUGCAGUAGAGGAAAGUGGAACUCCAUGUGUAGCGGUGAAAUGCGUAGAUAUAUGGAAGAACACCAGUGGCGAAGGCGGCUUUCUGGACUGUAACUGACGUUGAGGCUCGAAAGUGUGGGUAGCAAACAGGAUUAGAUACCCUGGUAGUCCACACCGUAAACGAUGAGUGCUAGGUGUUUGAGGGUUUCCGCCCUUAAGUGCCGCAGCUAACGCAUUAAGCACUCCGCCUGG
Molecule: ribosomal RNA, 875 nt
Filed under: Weissella confusa
Lineage: Bacteria; Bacillati; Bacillota; Bacilli; Lactobacillales; Lactobacillaceae
Description: bacterial SSU rRNA
Rfam family: Bacterial small subunit ribosomal RNA
Source: RNAcentral